ACGGCCAUACCAUGCUGAAUAUACCGGUUCUCGUUAGAUCACCGAAGUCAAGCAUCAUUGGUACUUGGCUGGGUGACCACCUCGGAACACCGCGGGCCGUU
Caerostris darwini is the source of this 101-nucleotide non-coding RNA. The record is from the annotation of a GenBank genome assembly. NCBI's taxonomy places the organism in Eukaryota, Metazoa, Arthropoda, Arachnida, Araneae, Araneidae.